GAAGUAAAAGUCGUACCAAGGUUUCCGUAGGUGAACCUGCGGAAGGAUCAUUACAGAGUUCAUGCCCGAAAGGGUAGACCUCCCACCCUUGUGUAUUAUUACUUUGUUGCUUUGGCGAGCUGCUCUUCGGGGCCUUGUAUGCUCGCCAGAGAAUAUCAAAACUCUUUUUAUUAAUGUCGUCUGAGUACUAUAUAAUAGUUAAAACUUUCAACAACGGAUCUCUUGGUUCUGGCAUCGAUGAAGAACGCAGCGAAAUGCGAUAAGUAAUGUGAAUUGCAGAAUUCAGUGAAUCAUCGAAUCUUUGAACGCACAUUGCGCCCCUUGGUAUUCCGGGGGGCAUGCCUGUUCGAGCGUCAUUUCAACCCUCAAGCUCAGCUUGGUAUUGAGUCCAUGUCAGUAAUGGCAGGCUCUAAAAUCAGUGGCGGCGCCGCUGGGUCCUGAACGUAGUAAUAUCUCUCGUUACAGGUUCUCGGUGUGCUUCUGCCAAAACCCAAAUUUUCUAUGGUUGACCUCGGAUCAGGUAGGGAUACCCGCUGAACUUAAGCAUAUCAAUAAGCGGAGGA
Molecule: ribosomal RNA, 563 nt
Filed under: Sclerotinia sclerotiorum
Lineage: Eukaryota; Fungi; Ascomycota; Leotiomycetes; Helotiales; Sclerotiniaceae
Description: eukaryotic LSU rRNA
Rfam family: 5.8S ribosomal RNA (bases 203-356)
Source: RNAcentral